Non-coding RNA from Acanthosepion pharaonis, 110 nucleotides. The record is from the annotation of a GenBank genome assembly. Lineage: Eukaryota; Metazoa; Mollusca; Cephalopoda; Sepiida; Sepiidae.
UAUGGCCAUACCGUGUUGAAACACCAAUUCUUAUCCAAUCACCAAAGUUAAGCAAUGUUGAGCCUUAUCAGUACCUAGAUGGGUGACUGCUUAGGAAUAACAGGUGCUGG